Pangasianodon gigas (Mekong giant catfish) is the source of this 70-nucleotide non-coding RNA. NCBI's taxonomy places the organism in Eukaryota, Metazoa, Chordata, Actinopteri, Siluriformes, Pangasiidae. The record is from the annotation of a GenBank genome assembly.
GCACAGUGGUGUAGUGGUUAGCACAGUUGCCUUACACCUUCAGGGUUGGGGGUUCAAAUCCCUCUGUGCU